CAGUAGCCGCGGGAAUACGAACCGUGCGAACGUUAUCCGGAAUUACUGGGCUUAAAGCGCGUGUAGGCGGGCCGCCACGUCGGUUGCUGAAAUCCCCCGGCUCAACCGGGGAAGUGGCAUCGAUACGAGCGGCCUUGAGGGGGGUAGGGGGAUCUGGAACUUCCGGUGGAGCGGUGAAAUGCGCUGAGAUCGGAAGGAACGCCCGUGGCGAAAGCGAGGUCCUGGACCCUUUCUGACGCUGAGACGCGAAAGCCAGGGGAGCGAACGGGAUUAGAUACCCCUGUAGUCCCUGUCUCUUAUA
Molecule: ribosomal RNA, 301 nt
Filed under: uncultured bacterium
Lineage: Bacteria
Description: partial 16S ribosomal RNA
Rfam family: Bacterial small subunit ribosomal RNA
Source: RNAcentral